Molecule: long non-coding RNA, 6779 nt
Organism: Hypanus sabinus (Atlantic stingray)
Lineage: Eukaryota; Metazoa; Chordata; Chondrichthyes; Myliobatiformes; Dasyatidae
Exons: 2
Source: RefSeq, a predicted model, not a curated record
GCUAGAUUUUAAGGGAUCAGAGGUCCCAAUGCAUUUCACGGGUAACAAACCAAGUGAGUCUCGAGUGCAGGUUCCGAAGCUCGAAUUUUGAAAGGGGUCCCACUCUGGGAGAUGGAGUGAACGCCUGGCCGAACAGGGAGGAACCAUCGCACACCCCUAUGUCUCUGGGUGAUCCUUUGAUCUCAGUAUCUGAAGAUGACAAUGUGUGCUGCCUUCAAAAAAGUGAAUCCAAGGAAAGCAUCCAGUCCUGAUGGAGUACCUGGUCAAGUACUGAAAACCUGUGCCCACAGAUAUCUUCAACUCUCACUUUGGGAGCGUGUGGUACCCACCUACUUAAAUCAAGUUUCAGUCGUACCAGUGCCCAAGAAGAGUGUGGUAACCUGUCUAAAUGACUAUCGCCUAGUGGCACUUACAUCCACAAUGAUGAAGUAUUUUGAGAGGCUGGUGUUGAGGCAAAUCAGCUCCUAUCUAAGUGGCAAUCUGGAUCUGCUCCAAUUUGCCUACUGAAGCAACAGGUCUACAGCAGAUGCUAACUCAUUGGCUCUUCACAUAACUCUGGAACAUCUGGACAUCAGGGUGCUCUUUGUCAAUUACAGCAUGGCAUUUAACACCAUCAUCCCCUCAAAACUAAUGAGUAAACUCCAAGAUCUGUGCCUCAAUAACCCCUUGUGCAAUUGUAUAAUGCAUUUCCUUACUUGUAGACCCCAGCUAGUUCAAAUUGGCAAAAACAUCUCCUCCACAAUCUCCAUCAACACAGGUGCACCAUUGGGAUGUGGACUUAGCCCUCUGCUAUAUUCACUUUGCACCUGUGACUGUCUGGCUAAGUAAAGGUCCAACACAAGUUUGCAGAUGACACCACUGUUGUGGGCUGUAUCAAAGGUGGUGAUGAAUUAGCAUACAGGAGGGAGUUUGAAAAUUUGGCUGUGUAAUAACAACAGCCUCUCACUCAAUGUCGAUAAGAACAAGGAACUGGUUGUAGAGUCCCAUCUACCCAAAGCAACUACCUUUAAGGUGUCAGUAACCCACCUUUGCCCCUUCUCCAGUCACUAGAAACAGUUCCACCAGGCUUAGUAGCUAAACUACACAUGAAAGGCAGGAACAAUGAGAGAUGUUCACCAAUGGGAGCAUUUAAUGGGCAGUGGGAGCUUAUCCCCACUGCCUCCACCCCUCCCCCAGCUGGGCAACCUUAAGGAACCUUAACCACGUGCCAAUAUCCUAUCACUUAUCCACUUACCGGAGGAAGUUUACAGCGUCCAAUUAACCCAACAGCUUACCCUUAUAUAGAAUGUGGAAGGAAAUUCGAACACGUGGAGGAAACACGUUGUCACAAAGAGCUCAUGCAUUUUAUUGGAGAUAAUCAUUGAACCCUGGCUCUUGUUGAGAGGAAGUAACCCUGCUAGCUGCAUUUUGACUAUCCUAUGGGACAUACCAACUCCCCACUAUAAAUAUCCUGGGGGGUGGGGUAGGAGGAGGACUGGACUAGGCACUUGUGUGCUGCAGCAGCAACAGAAAAGAGGGUUGACUACAUUAAAACUAAUGACUAAUAACUGAUCUCCAGAGACCAAAAAGCCUUCCCAUUACUACAAAGCACAAACUUGGAGUCAGGUAUCAUAAAGUAUUUCCCAUUUUCCACCAGUGCAGCACCAACAAUCUACACAAACAAAUUAGUAUCCCAUUCACCGGCCCAAACAUUCAAUCCCUCAACAUCACUUUUCAGAAAAUGCACAACUUCAACUACAUAUCAAACUCAGUUUAUAACUACUACUUAGAAGCUUGAAUGUGGCCAAAGGAAUGGUACCUUUUCUAGAUUCUCCUUUAAGUAGCAGCAUCCUGACUGAAAUAUGUCCGUUUUAUAACUAGGUUUAAAUCCUGGGACUCCCUGUACAACACAUCAGUAGAAUUACAGGGGCACUGCGGCAAUUCGAUGAAACUGUUCACUACCUCUUUCUCUGGAGCACAUGGGGAAUAGACAAUAAACACCUGCUUUGUUGGCAAUGCACUUGCCUGUAAAUUAUAAGCAUAAAUGUACCAGUGCCCUAGCCAAAAUUUCUCAAGUAACAAAAUACUAAUUUUCCUUCGAAUAAAGCACAAAUGAUUGCUGGUUCCUUGUAAUAUGGCAGUGGUUCUACUUCAACAAUACUUCAUAGGUUGUAAAACAUUUGGAAUAACCCAAGCUGUUGAAAAGUGCUACAGAAAAGUAGCUCAACAAUUAGCUCCCUAACCAAAAAAAAGGGACAAUCAAGAAUAAUUUAGGCAGAGAAGUACAGCAGAGUCCUAAUCUUAAUAAAAAAAAAUAUCAUGCACUGUCCCCUGCAGUGUCAGAAAUAGUAUCUGCUUUUCAGUAGAAAGAUGGUAAUUAGUAUUUUUUUCAUGGAGAAAUUGCAUCUGCUUGUGAACAGACUCAUCACACUACUGAAGCCUUGGUGAUGAACAGUGCCAUAACCAGUAUACACAAUUCAGAUUGGGUACUGACAUUGAGUCUGAUAACUCAAUAGUGAACUUGAACUAUAAACUGGACAGUACGCUAAAUGGGUUCAAAGUCCCACUGCACUUUAUUUUGGCAAGGUCAACCCCCAGAAAUGAAAUCUGGCUGAUUUGCAAUGACAACCACAGGCAAAUGAAGAACUGCUUCACAAUGACACAAAAUAGAAUUGUGUAACAGUUCCACAGAUAAGUGCCGCUGUUUGAUAAAAGGAAUUAAUGCAAAGAAAACAGAACAUACCUAUAGCUACAAUACCAAAUAUGAUCAUUCAAAUUGCUAGUUAAGGUUUAUACAAAAGCUAAAUCUAGGAUAGCUGAACCUUUGAAUAAAGAUAUAUACAUAUUUUUUUAAAAUACUAAAAACACCAAGGGGGACCUACCUUUAUAGACAUACUGGAUAUAGUACUAGACAUACAGUGUAUUUUGGUUAAUUGGGCCAGAUUAAAUCAGGGUAGCUGCUUAUUUGGGACAACUCUUAAAGAACUACUGAUUGGAAAUAGUCCAAAUUCCCUUUGCUUAUUUGGGUUACUACGCCACUUAAUUGGGGCAGAAAACCAUUGCCAAGCAGUUUCUAACUAAUGUCAGACAUGUGCUCCCUCGUGGAUGGAAGACUACACUGUGCUUAGAGCAAAGUGAUUGUAAAUUACACUUGUUGAGUGUGCUUGUAUUCAAAAAUUUUCAUCAGGAGUGAUGUGAUUUCAUGUGACUGUGUGAUUGGCAACUAAAUAUUCCUAGAUUUUGUUGCUUCAGGAGUGAUAGAAUCAGAGGGACAAGAGGGGGAGGUGUUGUGUUGCUUGUCAGUGAAAAUAUUACAGUGGUGCGCUGGCAGGAUAGAUUAGGGGGCUGGUCUAGGCUGUUUGGGCGGAAUUGAGGAAUGGGAAAGGUGUACUAACACUUAUAGGGUGUAUUAUAGACAACCUAACGGGGACUGAGAAUUGGAAGAGCAAAUUUGCAAGAAGAUAGCAGAUAUUUGUAGUAAGCACAGGGUUGUGAUUGUGGGAGAUCUUAAUUUUCCACACAUAGACUGGGAAGCCCAUAUGGUAAAAUGUGUGCAGGGUAGUUUUUUGCAGCCAUACAUAGAGGAACCAACUAGAGAAGGGGCAGCGUUGGAUCUUCUGUUAGGGAAUGAAAUAGGUCAGGUGACAGAGGUAUGUGUUGGGGAGCACCGGGUCCAGUGAUCACAAUGCCAUUAGUUUCAAUAUAAUUAUGGAGAAGGACAAGACUGGACUUAGGGUUGAAAUUUUUGAUUGGAGAAAGGCUAACUUUGAGGAGAUGCGAAAGGAUUUAGGAGGAGUGGAUUGGGACAAUUUGUUUUAUGGAAAGGAUAUAAUAGAGAAAUGGCGGUCAUUUAAAUGUGAAAUUUUGAGGGUACAGAAUCUUGAUGUUCCUGUUAGGUUGAAAGGAAAGGUUAAAAGUUUGAGAGAGCCAUGGUUUUCAAGGGAUAUUGUAAACUUGGUUAGGAAAAAGAGAGAUAUCCACAAUAAAUAUAGGCAGCAUGGAGUAAAUGAGGUGCUCGAGGAAUAUAAAGAAUGUAAGAAGAAUCUUAAGAAAUUAUAAAAGCUAAAAGGUACAAGGUUGCUUUGGCAAGUAAGGUGAAAAUAAAUCCAAAGGGUUUCUAUAGUUAUAUUAAUAGCAAAAGGAAGUGAGGGAUAAAAUUGGUCCCUUUAGCGAAUCCGAGUGGACAGCUAUGUGUGGAGCCGAAAGGGAUGGGGGAGAUUUUGAAUAAUUUUUUUUCUUCUGUAUUAACUAAGGAGAAGGAUUUUGAAUUGUGUAAGGGAAAUGAGUAGGGAAGUUAUGGAAACUAUGAUGAUUAAAGAGGAAGUACUGGCACUUUUAAGGAAGAUGAAAGUGGAUAAAUCUCCGGGUCCUGACAGGAUAUCCCCUAGGACCUUGAGGGAGGUUGGUGUAGAAAUAGCAGGGGCUCUGAUAGAAAUAUUUCAAAUGUCAUUAGAAACGGGGAUGGUGCCGGAGGAUUGGUGUAUUGCUCAUGUGGUUUCAUUGUUUAAAAAGGGUUCUAAGAGUAAACCUAGCAAUUAUAGGCCUGUCAGUUUGACGUCAGUGAUGGGUAAAUUAAUGGAAAGUAUUCUUAGAGAUAGUAUAUAUAAUUAUCUGGAUAGACAGGGUCUGAUUAGGAACAGUCAACAUGGAUUUGUGCGUGGAAGGCCAUGUUUGACAAAUCUUAUUGAAUUUUUUUGAAGAGGUUACAAGGAAAGUUGAUGAGGAUAAAGCAGUGGAUGUUGUCUAUAUGGACUUCAGUAAGGCCUUUGCCAAGGUUCCACACAGAAGGUUAGUUAGGAAGGUUCAAUCGUUGGUUGUUAAUAUUGAAGUAGUAAAAUGGAUUCAACAGUGGCUGGAUGGGAGACACCAGAGAGUAGUGGUGGAUAACUGUUUGUCAGGUUGGAGGCUGGUGACUAGUGGUGUGCCUCGGGGGUCUGUACUAGGUCCAAUGUUAUUUGUCAUAUACAUUAAUGAUCUGGAAGAUGGGGUGGUAAAUUGGAUUAGUAAGUAUGCAGAUGAUACUAAGGUAGGUGGUGGUGUGGAUAAUGAAGUGGGUUUUCAAAGUUUGCAGAGAGAUUUAGGCCAGUUAGAAGAGUGGGAUGGGAGAUGGGAGUUUAAUGCUGGUAAGUGUGAGGUGCUACAUUUUGGUAGGAAUAAUCAAAAUAGGACAUACAUGGUAAAUGGUAGGGCAUUGAGGAAUGCAGUAGAACAGAGUGAUCUAGGAAUAAUGGUGCAUAGUUCCUUGAAUGUGGAAUCUCAUGUUGGUAGGGUGGUGAAGAAAGCUUUUGGUAUGUUGGCCUUUAUAAAUCAGAGCAUUGAGUAUAGGAGUUGGGAUGUAAUGUUAAAAUUGUACAAGGCAUUGGUAAGGCUGAAUUUGGAGUAUUGUGUACAGUUCUGGUCACCAAAUUACAGGAAAGAUGUCAACAAAAUAGAGAGAAUACAGAGAAGAUUUACUAGAAUGUUACCUGUGUUUCAGCACUAAGUUACAGGGAAAGAUUGAAGUUAGGUCUUUAUUCUUUGGAGCGUAUUAGUUUGAGGGGGGACUUGAUAGAGGUAUUUAAAAUUAUGAGGGCGAUAGAUAGAGUUGAUGUGGAUAGGCUUUUUCCAUUGAGAGUAGGGGUGAUUCAAAUAAGAGGACGAGUUGAGAGUUAGGGGGCAAAAGUUUAAGGGUAACACAAGGGGGAAUUUCUUUACUCAAGAGAGUGGUAGCUGUGUGGAACGAGCUUCCAGUAGAAGUGGUAGAGGCAGGUUCAAUUUUGUCAUUUAAAAAAAAAUUGGAUAGGUAUAUGGACAGGAAAGGAAUGGAGGGUUAUGGGCUGAGUGCUGGUUAGAGGGACUAGGUGAGAGUAAGCAUUCGGCACGGAAUAGAAGGGCCGAGAUGGCCUGUUUCCAUGCUGUAAUUGUUAUAUGGAAGUUCACAAGAAAUAAGCAGCAAGAAAACUUGGGAGCAACGCACACGAAAUGCUGGUGAAAUGCGGCAGGCCAGGCAGCAUCUACGGGAAGAACGUCAAGACAAAGGGUCUUGGCCUGAAACAUCAACUGCACUUCUUCCUAUAGAUGCUGCCUGGCCUGCUGCAUUCCACCAGCAUUUUGUGUGUGUUGCUUGAAUUUCCAGCAUCUCGUGUUUGCGUUUUUAAAGAAAACUUGGAACUGUUUUUCUUACUGGUUUCAAGCAUUCAUGCUUGGAGAUGCCAGAAAUAGUCAUGAGUGAAAAUCUUGUGACUUCACUACUUCAAAAAGUUAGGAACAACAAAGAAUUAGAAGGUAUUGCCAAUCAUCUUGAAUGUUACAAUUAUUGAGGAUACAAUCAUCAAUAGCAUUAUAAUGAAAGCAGUCUAUUAUCUACAAAGUGUCUCCACUGAUUGUCCAUUUACAGUCAAAAGAAUGCAUAUGAAUUCCUCUGUUGAUAGCUAUGAGCAAUAUAUUUUAUUAGCACUGUAGUAUUAUCAGUGUUCCAAUUUGUUCUGUAUUUCAAUUAAAUACACAAUUUGUUACUCAGUUAAACAGCAACUUGUGUUUUUCUUUAAUACACCUUUUUAACUAUUUUCAGGAGACCGUGUAAUUGAGGCAACCACUUAAUUGGGCCGAAUUGUAUUGGUCCCAUUGUGUCCCAAUUAAGCAGAAUCCACUUCCAAUGUACCAAAAUUUCAAUAGUUAAAGAGGACGAUGGAAUCCAUCCCAAUAGUGAAACUCAAGAUCAAAUGACAAAGUCAUUAAACAUGUUAAUAAUUAAAGAAUGCUAUUGCAGGAUACGAAUCUUUUUUUGCAAUGUAGUAUUUGGAAUCAUUCAUGUGUACUUU